This 456-nucleotide ribosomal RNA is filed under the name Triticum aestivum (bread wheat). Its description in RNAcentral is "partial small subunit ribosomal RNA". Lineage: Eukaryota; Viridiplantae; Streptophyta; Magnoliopsida; Poales; Poaceae. The record is from RNAcentral.
AUGGCCACUGCAAGAGCUCUAGCCACCAUGGCAGUUUUCCUCCUGGUGGCCCUCUCCACCUCCCACAUCGCGUCCUCGCUCCGCCCAGGUCUCGGUGUGUGCCGUGCAAGUGGCUACCUUCCAGGAAAGUCAGGCAACUGUGAGAAGAGCAACGACCCCGACUGCUGCGAGGAUGGCAAGAGAUACCCGCAGUACCACUGCUCGCCGCCGGUCACCGCGACCACCAAGGCCGUCUUGACGCUCAACAGCUUCGAGAAGGGCAAGGACGGCGGCGGUCCGUCCGAGUGUGACAAUUCCUACCACAGCGAUAAGGAGAUGGUCGUUGCGCUCUCCACCGGCUGGUUCAAGAACAUGGCCCGUUGCGGGCACCGCAUCAAGAUCAGCGCCAAUGGCAAGUCUGUGUAUGCCAAGGUGGUGGACGAGUGUGACUCCGUCUAUGGCUGCGACGAAGACCAC